This 497-nucleotide ribosomal RNA is filed under the name uncultured bacterium. RNAcentral's name for it is "partial 16S ribosomal RNA". It matches the Rfam family "Bacterial small subunit ribosomal RNA", at positions 28 to 507 of the family's 1533-position model. The record is from RNAcentral.
GAUGAACGCUGGCGGCGUGCCUAAUACAUGCAAGUCGAGCGAACAGACGAGGAGCUUGCUCCUCUGACGUUAGCGGCGGACGGGUGAGUAACACGUGGAUAACCUACCUAUAAGACUGGGAUAACUUCGGGAAACCGGAGCUAAUACCGGAUAAUAUAUUGAACCGCAUGGUUCAAUAGUGAAAGACGGUUUUGCUGUCACUUAUAGAUGGAUCCGCGCCGCAUUAGCUAGUUGGUAAGGUAACGGCUUACCAAGGGAACGAUGCGUAGCCGACCUGAGAGGGUGAUCGGCCACACUGGAACUGAGACACGGUCCAGACUCCUACGGGAGGCAGCAGUAGGGAAUCUUCCGCAAUGGGCGAAAGCCUGACGGAGCAACGCCGCGUGAGUGAUGAAGGUCUUCGGAUCGUAAAACUCUGUUAUUAGGGAAGAACAAAUGUGUAAGUAACUAUGCACGUCUUGACGGUACCUAAUCAGAAAGCCACGGCUAACUACGUG